GUCGUAAAAACCCUAUUUGUAAACAACCAGUCCUUUAACUAAGCGCUACGUCAUAAACACGGCGCGCUUGGAAGACCACGAUGUCAUCUUCCUUCUGUCAGGAGGAUCCCAGUGAAGCUACAGGAUCUUCAUUAACGUCAACAACUUGGACCGAACGGUUUGUUUUGCUUGAUGAAGAGCAGGAAGGGCAGCCUGGAGAGAAAGAGAAGCCGGGUUGAGCCCACUACCAUCAUCCACGUACCACGAGGAAGAUGAGGGAGAGAAAUGAUCCUACCAUUAAAGAGACUGAAAAGAACGUUGAGAACAUCACCACUCUACAGGAAGACACAGUCCAGUAAUGGGUGUCAGAAGUUCAGUAGUGAACGACAGGAAGGACUGAUGCAUUUUCUGAGACGGGACGUGAGGGCCUACUCUGCGUGCUCAGAGUUCAAGCCCAGCAGGCUGCAGCGGUCCUGACAUAUUCCGGAACAGCAGCACAGUCUUUAGAUGACUCCUCUGAAGAUGAAAACAUGGCGAGUUCUUCUCAAGAGAAGCAGUACAGGUGUGCCUCAGCUCCACGGUCCCUCCUGCAACCUCCGCUCCUGAUGCUAACCUCAUGUCUCCAUCACACCAAGCAGCAGACCUGGAUUGACAGACCUUUCUCCAGAGCUGCCCCCUCCCUCUGAAACCCCCCUCUCCAAAACACUAUUUGUGUAGUUUUUUAAGUCUU
Long non-coding RNA from Pleuronectes platessa (European plaice), 709 nucleotides. RefSeq lists it as uncharacterized. The record is from RefSeq and is a predicted model, not a curated record. The transcript has 5 exons. NCBI's taxonomy places the organism in Eukaryota, Metazoa, Chordata, Actinopteri, Pleuronectiformes, Pleuronectidae.